GCCAGUGUGUUGUAGUGGUUUGAGCGUUGGACUACAACUCUGAAGACCAAGGUUCAAUUUCCUGCUCAGCCA
Phrynosoma platyrhinos (Desert horned lizard) is the source of this 72-nucleotide non-coding RNA. The record is from the annotation of a GenBank genome assembly. Lineage: Eukaryota; Metazoa; Chordata; Lepidosauria; Squamata; Phrynosomatidae.